GAUGAACGCUAGCUACAGACUUAACACAUGCAAGUCGAGGGGAAACGGCAUCGAAAGCUUGCUUUUGAUGGGCGUCGACCGGCGCACGGGUGAGUAACGCGUAUCCAACCUGCCCAUCACUUGGGAAUAACCUUGCGAAAGUAAGACUAAUGCCCAAUGACAUCCCACGAAGGCAUCCGAAUGGGGUUAAAGAUUUAUCGGUGAUGGAUGGGGAUGCGUCUGAUUAGCUUGUUGGCGGGGUGACGGCCCACCAAGGCAACGAUCAGUAGGGGUUCUGAGAGGAAGGUCCCCCACAUUGGAACUGAGACACGGUCCAAACUCCUACGGGAGGCAGCAGUGAGGAAUAUUGGUCAAUGGGCGAGAGCCUGAACCAGCCAAGUAGCGUGCAGGAUGACGGCCCUAUGGGUUGUAAACUGCUUUUAUAAGGGAAUAAAGUGGGUCACGUGUGACUUUUUGCAUGUACCUUAUGAAUAAGGACCGGCUAAUUCCGUG
This 492-nucleotide ribosomal RNA is filed under the name uncultured bacterium. RNAcentral describes it as "partial 16S ribosomal RNA". It matches the Rfam family "Bacterial small subunit ribosomal RNA", at positions 28 to 507 of the family's 1533-position model. The record is from RNAcentral.